GUUGGAUUAGUAUCGUAGAGGUAGCGAAGCAGACUGUAAAUCUGCCGACUCGGGUGGUUCGACUCCAUCAUCCAACACCA
This 80-nucleotide transfer RNA is filed under the name Escherichia phage DaisyDussoix. RNAcentral describes it as "tRNA-Tyr". It matches the Rfam family "tRNA". From Rfam's summary of the family: Transfer RNA (tRNA) molecules are approximately 80 nucleotides in length. Their secondary structure includes four short double-helical elements and three loops (D, anti-codon, and T loops). Further hydrogen bonds mediate the characteristic L-shaped molecular structure. tRNAs have two regions of fundamental functional importance: the anti-codon, which is responsible for specific mRNA codon recognition, and the 3' end, to which the tRNAs corresponding amino acid is attached (by aminoacyl-tRNA synthetases). tRNAs cope with the degeneracy of the genetic code in two manners: having more than one tRNA (with a specific anti-codon) for a particular amino acid; and 'wobble' base-pairing, i.e. permitting non-standard base-pairing at the 3rd anti-codon position. Lineage: Duplodnaviria; Heunggongvirae; Uroviricota; Caudoviricetes; Demerecviridae. The record is from RNAcentral.